GAAAGCCUUUGGCUUAACCAAAGAAGUGCAUCGGAAACUGUCAGACUUGAGUGCAGAAGAGGACAGUGGAACUCCAUGUGUAGCGGUGGAAUGCGUAGAUAUAUGGAAGAACACCAGUGGCGAAGGCGGCUGUCUGGUCUGCAACUGACGCUGAGGCUCGAAAGCAUGGGUAGCGAACAGGAUUAGAUACCCUGGUAGUCCAUGCCGUAAACGAUGAGUGCUAGGUGUUGGAGGGUUUCCGCCCUUCAGUGCCGCAGCUAACGCAUUAAGCACUCCGCCUGGGGAGUACGACCGCAAGGUUGAAACUCAAAGGAAUUGACGGGGGCCCGCACAAGCGGUGGAGCAUGUGGUUUAAUUCGAAGCUACGCGAAGAACCUUACCAGGUCUUGACAUCUUGCGCCAACCCUAGAGAUAGGGCGUUUCCUUCGGGAACGCAAUGACAGGUGGUGCAUGGUCGUCGUCAGCUCGUGUCGUGAGAUGUUGGGUUAAGUCCCCGCAACGAGCGCAACCCUUGUUACUAGUUGCCAGCA
This 530-nucleotide ribosomal RNA is filed under the name Limosilactobacillus mucosae. RNAcentral describes it as "bacterial SSU rRNA". It matches the Rfam family "Bacterial small subunit ribosomal RNA", at positions 596 to 1123 of the family's 1533-position model. The record is from RNAcentral. Lineage: Bacteria; Bacillati; Bacillota; Bacilli; Lactobacillales; Lactobacillaceae.